GGCUAUGAUGGCAACCAGGCUGCGACGUGUAUCACUCCAUUGAUUAUGGGGGUUAAUUUGGCUGAUUGGACUAGCUAGGUGGGCAUCUCCUUCCUCCCUCACCAUGCCACGUGCAGCGCUCCUGAGGCUGUGUGCUCCAUGGAAGAGGACGACCACACCCAAGGAGGACUGGUCUUCUGUCAAGGAUAAGAGUAGCUGUUUUCUCCUGCCAGAAUUUCCAAACAAGCGCUCAAACUUCACGGUCAAGCUCCCAAGACUCCAGACAAAUCCGAAUGAGGUGUGGCAUGUGGCAGUCUACCUUUA
This 303-nucleotide small nuclear RNA is filed under the name Saimiri boliviensis boliviensis (Bolivian squirrel monkey). RNAcentral's name for it is "7SK RNA (ENSSBOG00000008849.1)". It matches the Rfam family "7SK RNA". Rfam says of the family: 7SK was discovered as an abundant small nuclear RNA in the mid-70s but a possible function has only recently been suggested. Two independent studies have found that 7SK RNA binds the CDK9/cyclin T complex (known as elongation factor P-TEFb). The record is from RNAcentral. Lineage: Eukaryota; Metazoa; Chordata; Mammalia; Primates; Cebidae.